AAAUUUUUGACUUCCUUCUCUCAAUCUCAAUUCUCAAGAGUCUCUGGAUUUAAUUCAACAAAUCCCCUCCAUAAAUAAAUCACAAAUGAGUGUUCUUUUCUUCCUCCUGUUUACAACUGUGUUCUUUUCUCUCCGAUUUGCUGCCUCUUCUCCUGCUGAUCAUAGCUACAAUGUAGGAGAUCCUGUUCCUCUAUUCGUCAACAAAGUUGGUCCCUUGCACAAUCCCAGUGAAACCUACCACUACUACGAUUUGCCAUUCUGUCGUCCAGAUAAUGCAAUUCGAAAGAAAGAAACGCUUGGUGAGGUGUUGAAUGGAGAU
This 319-nucleotide unclassified non-coding RNA is filed under the name Hevea brasiliensis (rubber tree). Lineage: Eukaryota; Viridiplantae; Streptophyta; Magnoliopsida; Malpighiales; Euphorbiaceae. The record is from RNAcentral.